Molecule: long non-coding RNA, 543 nt
Filed under: Spirodela polyrhiza (greater duckweed)
Lineage: Eukaryota; Viridiplantae; Streptophyta; Magnoliopsida; Alismatales; Araceae
Description: long non-coding RNA (SPOL_LNC001174)
Source: RNAcentral
UUGUUUUAGGUUGACACUAGAUUUGUUGCCUUCCUCACCACAUCUACAACAUUUUAGUUGUUCAUUUAAACCAUAAGAGUUUUUUGAUGGUUUACUUCAUCCAAUGCUUCUUGUGUCAUUAGACUAUGUUAAUUCAUUUGUUGAGACACAUUUGGUCAUCUAUGUAUAUGUCACAAUAAGCUAAUUUACAUUUUCUUGACAAAAAUAUGAUGUAUGACUAGAAUUUAAGAUCUACUUUCUUCCUUCUUGAUUGGAGAUUCUAUCCAUUUUGAUGCCACAAUCAUAUCAUUUAGUUUGUAAAGGCAUUGUAGGGUCUGCUUUCUACAAUAACCGCUUUGUGACCUCUCUUGAAUCAAUAAAUCAUGUAAGAUAUAUUAUGUCAAAUCUAUUUGAGAAUGCAAUCCAUAAAAUAGUUCUACAUAUUCUACCACACUUUUUUCACCUUUUUUUAAUUUUGAUAAUGUUCAUAUAAAAUCUACAUAUUGUUAAGAAGAAGAAAUUAUGAUUUUAAUCUUUUCUUCAUUUAAACUAGGUACAAGCGGC